This 520-nucleotide ribosomal RNA is filed under the name Xiphiagrion cyanomelas. Its description in RNAcentral is "SSU rRNA". It matches the Rfam family "Eukaryotic small subunit ribosomal RNA", at positions 631 to 1126 of the family's 1831-position model. The record is from RNAcentral. Lineage: Eukaryota; Metazoa; Arthropoda; Insecta; Odonata; Coenagrionidae.
UAGUCGGAGGUGUGUCUCGGACGGUCGGUUCGCCGCUUGUCGGUGCUCAACUGGCCGGUCCGGACGUCCUGCCGGUGGGGCCUCGCGGCCCCGUCAUCCUUCUUUGGUCCUCUUCACCGAGUGCCUUGGUGGGCCGGCACGUUUACUUUGAACAAAUUAGAGUGCUCAAAGCAGGCCGUUGGUCGCCUGAAUACUGUGUGCAUGGAAUAAUGGAAUAGGACCUCGGUUCCAUUUUGUUGGUUUUCGGGACUCGAGGUAAUGAUUAAUAGGGACGGACGGGGGCAUUCGUAUUGCGACGUUAGAGGUGAAAUUCUUGGAUCGUCGCAAGACGAACCGAUGCGAAAGCAUUUGCCAAGAACGUUUUCGUUGAUCAAGAACGAAAGUUAGAGGUUCGAAGGCGAUCAGAUACCGCCCUAGUUCUAACCAUAAACGAUGCCAGCUAGCCAUCCGCCGAAGUUCCUUCUAUGACUCGGCGGGCAGCUUCCGGGAAACCAAAGCUCUUGGGUUCCGGGGGAAGUAU